UACCGAGGGCUCAAGCGGUGUUCGGAUUCAUUGGGCGUAAAGGGUGCGUAGGCGGCGCGGUAAGUCGGGUGUGAAAUCUCGGAGCUUAACUCCGAAACUGCAUUCGAUACUGCCGUGCUUGAGGACUGGAGAGGAGACUGGAAUUUACGGUGUAGCGGUGAAAUGCGUAGAUAUCGUAAGGAAGACCAGUGGCGAAGGCGGGUCUCUGGACAGUUCCUGACGCUGAGGCACGAAGGUCAGGGGAGCAAACGGG
Molecule: ribosomal RNA, 253 nt
Filed under: uncultured bacterium
Lineage: Bacteria
Description: partial 16S ribosomal RNA
Rfam family: Bacterial small subunit ribosomal RNA
Source: RNAcentral